This 253-nucleotide ribosomal RNA is filed under the name uncultured bacterium. Its description in RNAcentral is "partial 16S ribosomal RNA". It matches the Rfam family "Bacterial small subunit ribosomal RNA", at positions 524 to 776 of the family's 1533-position model. The record is from RNAcentral.
UACGGAGGGUGUUAGCGUUGUUCGGAUUUACUGGGCGUAAAGCGCGCGUAGGCGGUUUAGCAAGUUGGAAGUGAAAGCCCAAAGCUCAACUUUGGAAUUGCUUUCAAAACUAUUAAACUAGAGUAUGGUAGGGGAUAGUGGAAUUCCUAGUGUAGAGGUGAAAUUCGUAGAUAUUAGGAGGAACACCAGAGGCGAAAGCGACUAUCUGGGCCAUUACUGACGCUAAGGCGCGAAAGCGUGGGGAGCAAACAGG